GUCCUGACCAAUUCUCCAGGCUUAUAUAUACUUCUUCAUUUGAUUGCCUUCAAAAUGGUGGGGCUCAAGAAGACCAAAUCAUCUGCCCAAAGCCAUACAACUGGGAGAGAUGGCCCAUGCCCAGGAAGCUGCCCUGGACUCCCACAGACCCUGGACAAUGGGCAGGAAUGUUACUGUACAAGAAGGAACAGCUUCCCCAUUUCCAGUAGUGGCAACAUCCCCUCCCAGACCCAUGCUGCCAUCAGCCAUUCCACCUUUGUCUGAGGAGA
RNAcentral lists this long non-coding RNA (269 nucleotides) under Homo sapiens (human). RNAcentral describes it as "HSALNT0194350". Lineage: Eukaryota; Metazoa; Chordata; Mammalia; Primates; Hominidae. The record is from RNAcentral.